GAUUUUUUAAGUUCGAUCCUAGCGCCAUCUAUACGAAACUGGCGAAAACUACUCAACAGCUUACGAACCGGUUUUUUCGAAACAGUGUGGCGUCGCUGAGCGCUUCCGCUUCCGGCGGUCAAGUUUUAAGUUAUUAUUUUUAUUCAGUUGUUCUGAUUUUCAUUUGUUCUGAUUUGCUUGUGUUCUGAUUUUCACUUGUCUUCUUCAUCCUCCUGCAUUGAACGCGUCGUUUGAACGAAGUCGUGAGAUUUUUGAUCGCGUCCCUUGUGCUGAAUCUCCGCAAGACGUGCAUCGACUUUAAAUAGUGUGUCUAGUUUACGCGUGAACGUUUAAGUGUUAAUUCCAAUUUAGUGAUUCGUUUAAUUUGUAUAUAAGCUUAUUUAGUAGUGUAUCGCGUUUGGACGUCGUCGCCGUUUUGACUUAUGUUGUUUCGUUGUUCUAUAUUAUACGUGUUGUGAAAACCUUAAGGUUUAUUUUAAUUCCUUGACUGUACCGAGAACUCUGUGAAAUUGCCGUGUAUGAGUUAUAUGCGCGUGAUGAAGUGAAGGUAAAAGCAGCACGCCUUUACCGACAGUGGGAAUCAUACCGACCACCAAACCUGCAUUACCAUCAUCCCACAACGUGUGGUGGCCGUCAUCGAGGUCGAUAAGGAAGAGAAUGUUCCCUGCUGUUUCUGGCCCAGCUACCGACCAUAUAACAGAUAUGCACCGCGUGGAGGCCCCUCAGCAACGCUGUACCCAAGCGUAUGGAAGUAUGAGUAUCGCCAAUCAGGGCGAAGAUACCCAUCAAAAAACCAAAACUGGUCUUCUCGCAGUUAUGGUCUCUCGUGACGGCAACAAUAUAUAGAAGCUGUACAAAGGUUCGCGGAGCCGGUCUCUUUGCAAGUUCCAAAGUGUGAAUAGCCCUUGGACAUCCGAAUCUACUAAUGAACUGGUCAGCCAAUGCAAGGGCAACAGUCACUGUUUUUGUGCUCUGCAAUGGGAUCGCAUCUGAAUAUUUAGUGAGGUUAUCCUGUAAGAUGGAAAUAGACGAGCAACAAAAGAAAAACCAACAAGAAGAAAAAGAAAAGGAGAAAGACGAAGAAGAAGAAACAGAAAAAAAAGAAGAUAAACGAGAGGAAAAGCUAUCGACGUCGCAAAAACGGCACCCCCAAAGUUCCGGCUUCUUUUAUUGAGAAAUCAUCAUCUACCAACUAGAAAUGAAUGGGAAUAUCAUGGAUGAUGGUGCUACCUCGCGUUGCGUCGGAAUUAUCCUGGAACCAAUACUGAUUUAACUGUGACCCGGUAUCUAUAAGAAAAUUGUCGAUUCCCUGACGAAGACUGCCGUAUCGAAGUGAAAUGACAGGUGAUAAUGUGAAGCUAUUUAUGCCGGGCGUGUAGCAGACGCGGUGGAGUUGGCGCUGGUGAAAUUCAGGGUUCGUUCCGCGUUGCGCCCGUUCGCGGAGCGUCCUUCAAAUUUAAAAGAUUAAAUUGGCUUGCAGUGAAUUUAGUACCGGACGGUUGCGACUUUUCCCAACCACGAUCAGGAUUCCUUUUAUAACACCGAGUUUCUAAAUGACCCGUUCUUCCACAAAAUUUGCAUCUAUACUUGCCGUCACUAGAGUCCAUAACUGCGAAAAGACGAGUUUUCGUCCUUUCGUGCGCAUGUUCGGCCUGAUUGGCGAUACUCCCAAACGAAGUGGAAACCGAUUAGCGGAGAGCUUGCUGAGUUCCCCCACCAUCUUCCAACCUGCGCGGCUUAGUUAUGGACUCUGGUGACGGCAAGGUAGUUGAAUAACGUUCCUAUCUCCAAGGCUUGCGGCCUCUCUUAGCAGGACAGUUCGCGGAUAUGUGACCGAUUUUAUUACAAUUAAAACAUCUAAGCUGAUUUGUAUUUACUGUAUAAAUACCCGGUUUAUCAUCGGUGAUAUCAAUGUUUCCAAUUUCGUUCGUGCUUUUAGCCUGAUUCUCUAAUUUCGAAGGUAACUUAAUAGCAGUACCCAAAUCUUUUGAGAGCACUCAAUUUUCAACGUGUGUUGCGUGCCCGUGGAGCGCGAAGCGCUUUGCACAUGAGGUGCCUAAUUUUUAAAACAUAAUUGUAAAACUUGAAAUAAGAUUAACUGUUUAAAUUCAAUAAUAACUUUUAAUUAACAAUAAAGAACUUGAACGAAAAUUAAAUUUGACUUG
Osmia lignaria (orchard mason bee) is the source of this 2165-nucleotide non-coding RNA. Lineage: Eukaryota; Metazoa; Arthropoda; Insecta; Hymenoptera; Megachilidae. The record is from RefSeq and is a predicted model, not a curated record.